GGGAACUACGAGCAUAAGCUUAAAACCCAAAGGACUUGGCGGUGCUUUAGACCCCCCUAGAGGAGCCUGUUCUAGAACCGAUAACCCCCGUUCGACCUCACCUUUUCUUGUUCAUCCCGUCUAUAUACCGCCGUCGUCAGCAUACCCUGUGAAGGAAACAUAGUAAGCAAAAUUGGUAAAACCCAAAACGCCAGGUCGAGGUGUAGCAUACGAAAAGGAAAGAAAUGGGCUACAUUUCCUCUUACAGGAAAUACGAAUUGUGUCAUGAAACAACACAUGAAGGAGGAUUUAGCAGUAAGCAGAAAAC
This 307-nucleotide ribosomal RNA is filed under the name Limia melanogaster (blackbelly limia). RNAcentral describes it as "12S ribosomal RNA". It matches the Rfam family "Bacterial small subunit ribosomal RNA", at positions 875 to 1350 of the family's 1533-position model. The record is from RNAcentral. Lineage: Eukaryota; Metazoa; Chordata; Actinopteri; Cyprinodontiformes; Poeciliidae.